RNAcentral lists this long non-coding RNA (3577 nucleotides) under Homo sapiens (human). RNAcentral's name for it is "HSALNT0290875". Lineage: Eukaryota; Metazoa; Chordata; Mammalia; Primates; Hominidae. The record is from RNAcentral.
GCCGCCAUGCCCCAGCCUAUUGAUAUUCUUGUUGAGGUUCUCAGACAUAUCUGCAUGGCCUCACACAUGGAGGAAAGAGACCCACAGAGGCAAAAACAAGACAUGGGGUAAAAAUAGACUGGAAGGAAACACACCGAAUGAUAGUGGUUUUUUCUGGGUGUUGAGAUUACCGAGCUUAUUUUUAAAUUUCUUAGAUCCUUCAGGUGUUCUACAACGUAAAAUGCAGACAGGGUGGGGACGUUGGUUGGAGUCAUGUUUUCCCUAAUGUUCUUACUGGUUCUAAAAUCUUCAAGCUAUGCUCUCACCCAAGGCUUCACUUAUUAUUAUUUUAACACUGUGGAUUCAUAAAGAAUGGAAGCCCACACAAGUCCAGGGAAGGAAGGAAAGGCAGACAGAGGCUUAUUUUCAGGCCUGGGCAGUUGCACAGGGUCCCUUGCUUAGAAGGGCCUCAUGCUUGGUUUCGUGUUCUGUGGUCGCUGUCCUGAAAUUCUUACUGAUUUUUGAACAAGGGAUCCUGUAUUUUCAUUUUGCACUGUGCCCUGAAAAUCAUGCCGCCGUCACUAGCCCUGGGAUUCUCCCCAGGACAGGUUUCCCUUCAGCUGCUCUAAGCCUUCGCCCUUGUCCUUGUCCAACCACGGACGUGGCCAUCCACGGAGCCCUCUACGUGCCUCAGAGCAAGUGUGCUUCGGCUGCUCAGGUGUGUGUCUAGAGACUGAUAAAAACAGGGCUCGUGAGUGGGUGCGGGAGGCCCCUGUGGUCUCUGUUCACACACGUACCUACCCUCAAGGCCAUGUCUACACUGGCCUAUUUCAGAGAACCGCCCUGUGCAUCAUGGGAUGCUUUGCCCCACAUCACGGCCCAGCUUGGUUCAGUCCUGGAGCCCUGUGUCCUGAAGCCAUGACCAACCCCAGGCCUGGCCCACCUUCUUCCUCAGUCUCCUCUCCCUCAAGCCCUCCACAGGACCCAUAAACCUUCCAUCUCCAUGUAAUCCUUUUGUGUGAUCCUUCUUCCAUACCUUUGCCCAUGCUGUUCACUCUGCUUGUACCAGCAAGGUUCCUUCCUCCCCAGAUCUGCCCUUUCUAGACCCAUCUCAGAUUCCACCCUUUCUAGAAAGACUUCAGGAAGUAUUUGAGAAGGGCCUGAAGAUGCUGUGGUUGCAUAGAGGAGGAUAUGAAUCACCUCGCUUAGAGGUAUCGGGGAGGGCUCCAUGGAGGUGGUGCCCUCAGGCCAAGGAAGAGAAGAUAUCUUCCGGGCAGAAGGGAGAGUUUGACGGGCUGGUUUGAUGUCAGACAGACCACAGGAUGACUCAAGGUCCUCUUUCCUCUUCUUAAACAUUAGUUGCAGCAAGUCCCACCAUCUGCCUGAGUCUGUUUUCAUCUCCACAAUGGAGGUGGUGAUGCCCAGCACACGGAGCUGUGAUGAGGAUUUAAUGGGGAAUCCAGAGCAUUUAUGGAAGUGCCAGGAGGCCAAGAUUCUGCAUAGUGAGAAGGGCUGAAUAUCACCUGUGAGCCUGCCCCUGCUCCCAAGAACACCCUUUGGACACCUGUGGGCUCUGCAAGGUUGGUGUAACCCCUACAGAUGAGGAAACCAGAGACAGAGAAGUGAAGUAACUCAUGCAGGUGACGGCAGAGGGCAGAGUCAGGACUUGAACCUGGAGAGCCUGGCUCUAAAGCCCAAGCUGGAAUCUCGAUACUCUACACCUCGAUAAGUUUUUGGGAAAUGACUGACUAAACAGAUGAACGCGUUUGCCCCCCCGCCGCCCCAGAGCCCCCUUAAAGCCUACAUGUGGCAGUUUGGGCCCAUUUCCUUGGCUUCCCUCCCUGGAGGGGCACCCACUGCCAGUGUCCCUGCUGAAAUUUAGCAUCAUAUUCCAUGGCGAUUUUCCACCAGUGGAAAUCACAGGUGUUCUCUGGUAUCACAGCGGGGUCAGGGAUGACCUGAAAUAUUGUUCAUGCUCAUCACAACUGCAUGGCCCACCGCGGGGUCUUGUCACUCAGUGAGUUCUUGAAGAGGCACAGACAAAUGGAGUUCAACAAAUGGAAAACAACUGCCUUUAAUUAGCUCCGAGGACUACAAAGGGAACAACGUUAUAAUAGCAGCAACUCCAAGGAAGCAGCCACAGCUCUCAGCUCUCAGACCUGGGGCUGCCGCUCAUCAUCAGCUACAGCUAGGUUUGAUGGGAGUGCCCCCAUUUCAGGGGACAGCAGGCCCCCUUCACUCCCCGACUCAGUCCCCAUCUGCAGCAGCACAGCCUUCCUUGGCCUCACCAGGGAAGAAGAACAGGCCCCGCUCUCAGACAAGCCUUCCCAGAAGCCUGAGGACUCAAACACCCAAAUGUGUCUGGGUCCCUGCCCCGAGCCGGCCACCCAGGCAGCAGCCCUGAAUCACUCGGUCAGCCAGCGGCAGGGCAGGCCAAUGGGCUGGAGGGUAGGCAGGCAGGCAGACCCACCUCUGCAUCUCUGCUGACUGCCUCGGCUGAGGAAAGGCAGCACCAGCCCCCAACCCUGAAGUUCUAGAUCUCAUGCAGCCUCUCUGUUCUGGAACCAUCCAGAGGCACUGCCCUUAUACAUGGUCCACCCCCAGGCUCAGACAAUGAGAAUUCCACAAGCAGAGGGGACUCUAUUUGGGGCACAGAGAGGUUAAGUAACUCCCCUCCUAAGGUCUCUCAGCAAGGAAGCCACUGAGCCGUGGGACUUGAGCUCAGGGACUCUUGAUCCCCAGUCUCAGGUGUCACAGCCCCAUCUGGGCUCCUGCUAGGGAGGAGGAAGGCAGCAGGGGGUGUCUGAGGCCAGGGUGCAUCAGCCCUAAAUGCCAGACAGAGGCAGGAGAAGUCUCCCCAUGAGUCCCAGCCCCAUUAGAGGCUCCAGGUCGGGGAUCCCAGACCCCCUAUCCUUGCUGGGAGACACAACCCAGAACUCUGCAUCCCUGCAGCCACCAAAAAAGGCAAAAGCUGCCCAGAAACACUUUCUCCUCUUCCGUGGCCAAAUCCACGAACUUUCUCGAGGUCUGUCCCCCUGCCCCGUGCAGGUCCAGCUUCAGUGCAGCCCAGCUCUGUGCAGUUUUCCACAAAAGCCUGUGGCUUCCUUCUCCUCCCUCUGCUUCUGAUACCCCAGGAGUUACACACAAAAUGUUGGCGGUGGUCUCCAGGAAGACCCCUGCAUCCCACAGCUCUCCCCAGAAGUUGCCAGCAGUGACCUCCUGAGCCCAGGUGGGGAGUCCCAGGCAGGACAGGGGCUGGGGCUGCAGGCCCUGGGGCCCUGUUAGUGAAGCAGCAAGCCGAGGGUCCCUGAGAGUUUCCCUUGGCCCCUCUGAGGGCUGCCCUUUGAGGUCUUGAGGUCUUGGAGUAUCCAUCGCCCCCACGGCUUACUGUCCCCACCAGCGGAGGAUGAAAGUGCCACAGCGAUGUUCCACGCCAAGAGACCACAGAGACCACCAACCCCUCUUCCCACCUCAGGCUUUCAGAGGCCAGCGGAUUUAGGCGGACAGGCUGUGCGCUUGAGGGCAGCCAGGGCGGUCAGUGGAGGGACGUGGUCCGGGGCCUGGCCACAGCUCCCCACCCAGGGCCCUGGGCUAUUGU